UCUUUUUGGCAAAAAAGUAAAAGAAAAUUAGAAAACAGACAUAAUGGUUAUGGUUAUGGAGCUGCAUCCUCAACUCUGAUUCCUCUCCUAAAUUUAGCCACGCUUUCUUCUGCAUCAUCACAAUGAGCCACGCUCUCUAUCAUAUCCACAAUGAUCCCUUAGAUCUCACAUCACAAUCCAUGUCGGUUUUAUCAAGCAUGGAGGCGCCUACUGCUGAAGUGGGCCUUUCGCCGGAGAAGAUUGAAAAUGAAAAAGAGGGAGGUCCAAUGUUCCAUUGUGAUUUACAUGAUACAGAAAUAGUUCACAAGCUUGCUCAAAUGUUCUUGCCAGGUUUAGCCUCUGCUUGUGUUGAUAACACAACUGGGGAUCCCUUUAACACUGCUGGUUCAGUUGCAGAUGAUUUGAGGAAAGAAAUGAUUGAUUAUCUUACACAGAGAAGUGAAUCGUUUGUUGCUGAGACUGUUAUCUUUGAUGAUGGUGCGGAUGGUGAAGUCUCGGAUCAUCCUUUCGAUAUUAUUUCUUGUUUUGUGGAUGACUUUGUUAAUUCAAAGAGGAAUUUGUUGAGUCAGGUUUCGGGAUGGCUGCUGAGCGAUAAGAGAGAAGAUAACAUAGAUGAUUUUGUUCAGGAGAUGGAGACUAAGGGUUUUUGGUUGUUAGAUAGAAGAGAAAAAGUUGCUGAAAAUUUGCUUAGGAAUGUUGAUUUCAAGAACUCGUUUCAUUGUAGCAUGAGUUUUAUUAACGCGGAAGAUCUUGCUAACCAUGUUGAUAAUUGCAAUUUCAAACCUGUGAUCUGCCGUAACGAGGGAUGCAAUGCGAGGUUUAGCGCUGUUUAUUUGAAGGAGCAUGAUUCAGAAUGUCCUUUUAAGAUAAUUCCAUGUGAGCAGAAGUGUACGGAUAACAUUAUGAGACGUGAGAUGGAUAGGCACUGCAUAACUGUUUGUCCGAUGAAGCUUGUGAAUUGUCCUUUCUAUGCACUCGGUUGUCGAUCGGCUAUUGCACAAUGUAUGGUUGGAAAACAUUGCUCAGAUGAUCUUCAUUCGCACUUAUUGCACUUGCUUAAAGGGAUCCACAAGGAUGCAUCCGGCGGAGAUCUUAAUCGACGAGUAGAGCGAAUUGUACAGGCAUCGUCAAACAAUAGGUUAGCAGAGGCUCGCGAUAUAAGAUCGCUAAAAGUUAUUGUAAGAGAUCUUGAAGCUAAGCUAGGGCCUUUGGAAGUCAGUGCCAUAGAGAAAACUAGUGCAGAAACAAUUGCAAAGAAUGAAAAUAGCGAAGACAUUGGCACCAAAACUAAGGGUGGUGCACAAGCUUCAACUUCAUCAGAUAAAGUUGAGGUGAAUGCUACACUGAAUAAGAAUGGCGCAGAGAAUGCAGUGAAUAAUGAAGAUAGUGAGCAUAAGGAAAAUGGAAAAAAAGGGUAAUGGGGAGAAUGAACGAGGAACAAUAAUAUUAGAAAUGAUAACACUUGUAGGAUGACAUACAAAUUUUUAGUUGAGAAGUUUUGUGUUUUUCUUAAGGUUUUGAAGAGAAGCUUGUGUGAAACUGGAUAACAUCAUGAUCUUUCUUUUGUUGAUUAGCUAAUCAUACAUUAUUUUCAUACUAACUAAAUAAUGAACUUGCUCA
This is an RNA transcript of Lathyrus oleraceus (garden pea), 1620 nucleotides long. RefSeq lists it as uncharacterized. The transcript is spliced from 4 exons. The record is from RefSeq and is a predicted model, not a curated record. Lineage: Eukaryota; Viridiplantae; Streptophyta; Magnoliopsida; Fabales; Fabaceae.